This 428-nucleotide ribosomal RNA is filed under the name uncultured prokaryote. RNAcentral describes it as "bacterial SSU rRNA". It matches the Rfam family "Bacterial small subunit ribosomal RNA", at positions 355 to 774 of the family's 1533-position model. The record is from RNAcentral.
UGGGGAAUAUUGCGCAAUGGGGGAAACCCUGACGCAGCGACGCCGCGUGAGCGAAGAAGGCCUUCGGGUUGUAAAGCUCUGUUGUAUGGGAAGAAGUUCCUUUUCAGAAAUAUGGGGAAGGGAUGACGGUACCAUACGAGGAAGCCCCGGCUAACUACGUGCCAGCAGCCGCGGUAAGACGUAGGGGGCGAGCGUUGUCCGGAAUUACUGGGCGUAAAGAGCGUGUAGGCGGGUAGACAAGUCAGAUGUGAAAGACCGCAGCUUAACUGCGGGGUUGCAUCUGAAACUGACUAUCUUGAGGGCAGGAGAGGACAGUGGAAUUCCUGGUGUAGCGGUGAAAUGCGUAGAAAUCAGGAGGAAUACCAGUGGCGAAGGCGACUGUCUGGACUGACCCUGACGCUGAGGCGCGAAAGCGUGGGGAGCAAACA